GGCCAUGCGGCGGCUACCAUGCAAGUCGAGCGGUAACAGGGGUAGCUUGCUACCCGCUGACGAGCGGCGGACGGGUGAGUAAUGCAUAGGAAUCUGCCCGAUAGUGGGGGAUAACCUGGGGAAACCCAGGCUAAUACCGCAUACGUCCUACGGGAGAAAGGGGGCUCCGGCUCCCGCUAUUGGAUGAGCCUAUGUCGGAUUAGCUAGUUGGUAAGGUAAUGGCUUACCAAGGCAACGAUCCGUAGCUGGUCUGAGAGGAUGAUCAGCCACAUCGGGACUGAGACACGGCCCGAACUCCUACGGGAGGCAGCAGUGGGGAAUAUUGGACAAUGGGGGCAACCCUGAUCCAGCCAUGCCGCGUGUGUGAAGAAGGCCCUCGGGUUGUAAAGCACUUUCAGCGAGGAAGAACGCCUAUCGGUUAAUACCCGGUAGGAAAGACAUCACUCGCAGAAGAAGCACCGGCUAACUCCGUGCCAGCAGCCGCGGUAAUACGGAGGGUGCAAGCGUUAAUCGGAAUUACUGGGCGUAAAGCGCGCGUAGGUGGCUUGAUAAGCCGGUUGUGAAAGCCCCGGGCUCAACCUGGGAACGGCAUCCGGAACUGUCAGGCUAGAGUGCAGGAGAGGAAGGUAGAAUUCCCGGUGUAGCGGUGAAAUGCGUAGAGAUCGGGAGGAAUACCAGUGGCGAAGGCGGCCUUCUGGACUGACACUGACACUGAGGUGCGAAAGCGUGGGUAGCAAACAGGAUUAGAUACCCUGGGUAGUCA
Molecule: ribosomal RNA, 763 nt
Filed under: Halomonas sp.
Lineage: Bacteria; Pseudomonadati; Pseudomonadota; Gammaproteobacteria; Oceanospirillales; Halomonadaceae
Description: bacterial SSU rRNA
Rfam family: Bacterial small subunit ribosomal RNA
Source: RNAcentral